AUUGAACGCUGGCGGCAUGCCUUACACAUGCAAGUCGAACGGCAGCGGGGGAGAAGCUUGCUUUUCCUGCCGGCGAGUGGCGAACGGGUGAGUAAUACAUCGGAACGUGCCCUGUAGUGGGGGAUAACUAGUCGAAAGAUUAGCUAAUACCGCAUACGACCUGAGGGUGAAAGUGGGGGACCGCAAGGCCUCAUGCUAUAGGAGCGGCCGAUGUCUGAUUAGCUAGUUGGUGGGGUAAAGGCCUACCAAGGCGACGACCAGUAGCUGGUCUGAGAGGACGAUCAGCCACACUGGGACUGAGACACGGCCCAGACUCCUACGGGAGGCAGCAGUGGGGAAUUUUGGACAAUGGGCGAAAGCCUGAUCCAGCAAUGCCGCGUGUGUGAAGAAGGCCUUCGGGUUGUAAAGCACUUUUGUCCGGAAGGAAAUGGCUCUGGUUAAUACCUGGGGUCGAUGACGGUACCGGAAGAAUAAGGACCGGCUAACUACGUGCCAGCAGCCGCCGUAA
RNAcentral lists this ribosomal RNA (508 nucleotides) under uncultured bacterium. Its description in RNAcentral is "partial 16S ribosomal RNA". It matches the Rfam family "Bacterial small subunit ribosomal RNA", at positions 30 to 523 of the family's 1533-position model. The record is from RNAcentral.